Molecule: ribosomal RNA, 473 nt
Filed under: uncultured bacterium
Lineage: Bacteria
Description: partial 16S ribosomal RNA
Rfam family: Bacterial small subunit ribosomal RNA
Source: RNAcentral
GAUGAACGCUAGCGGCAGGCCUAAUACAUGCAAGUCGAACGGGUGGUCGCAAGACCACUAGUGGCGCACGGGUGCGUAACGCGUAACCAACCUGCCCCGAUCUGGGGGAUAGCCCGCCGAAAGGCGGAUUAAUACCGCAUAUACCCGCAGCCUGGCAUCAGGCAACGGGGAAAGAUUUAUUGGAUCGGGAUGGGGUUGCGUGACAUUAGCUAGUUGGCGGGGUAAGGGCCCACCAAGGCGACGAUGUCUAGGGGACCUGAGAGGGUGAUCCCCCACACUGGCACUGAGAUACGGGCCAGACUCCUACGGGAGGCAGCAGUAGGGAAUAUUAGGCAAUGGGCGAGAGCCUGACCCAGCCAUGCCGCGUGCCGGAUGAAGGCCUUCUGGGGUGUAAACGGCUUUUCUCAGGGAAGAAAAAGACCUUGCGAGGUACACUGACGGUACCUGAGGAAUAAGCACCGGCUAACUCCGUG